Molecule: ribosomal RNA, 502 nt
Filed under: Onthophagus tersidorsis
Lineage: Eukaryota; Metazoa; Arthropoda; Insecta; Coleoptera; Scarabaeidae
Description: partial 16S ribosomal RNA
Rfam family: Bacterial large subunit ribosomal RNA
Source: RNAcentral
CUGAUCGUGCAAAGGUAGCAUAAUCAUUAGUUUUUUAAUUGGGAACUGGUAUGAAAGGUCGAACGAGAAAAAGACUGUCUCAAUUUAAUUUAAAUUAGAAUUUUAUAUUUAAGUAAAAAAGCUUAAAUAUUUUUAAAAGACGAGAAGACCCUAUAGAGUUUAAUAGUUAUUAAUUUUAAAGAAAAUUAAGAAUUUUUUUUUUUUUAUUAUUAAUAAUUAUUUGGUUGGGGCGACUAAAAAAUUAAAUAAACUUUUUUUAAAAUUUUUACCAUUAAUAUAUGAUUAAGUGAUCCAUUAGUUAUGAUUAAAAGAUUAAAUUACCUUAGGGAUAACAGCGUUAUUUUUUUUGAGAGUUCUUAUCGAAAAAAAAGUUUGCGACCUCGAUGUUGGAUUAAAAUUUACUUUUGGUGUAGAAGCUAAAAUAGUUAGGUCUGUUCGACCUUUAAAAUUUUACAUGAUCUGAGUUUAAACCGGUGUAAGCCAGGUUGGUUUCUAUCUUUAA